RNAcentral lists this ribosomal RNA (497 nucleotides) under uncultured bacterium. Its description in RNAcentral is "partial 16S ribosomal RNA". It matches the Rfam family "Bacterial small subunit ribosomal RNA", at positions 28 to 507 of the family's 1533-position model. The record is from RNAcentral.
GAUGAACGCUGGCGGCGUGCCUAAUACAUGCAGGUCGAGCGAACGGACGAGAAGCUUGCUUCUCUGAUGUUAGCGGCGGACGGGUGGGUAACACGUGGAUAACCUACCUAUAAGACUGGGAUAACUUCGGGAAACCGGAGCUAAUACCGGAUGAUAUUUUGAACCGCAUGGUUCAAAAGUGAAAGACGGUCUUGCUGUCACUUAUAGAUGGAUCCGCGCUGCAUUAGCUAGUUGGUAAGGUAACGGCUUACCAAGGCAACGAUGCAUAGCCGACCUGGGAGGGUGAUCGGCCACACUGGAACUGAGACACGGUCCAGACUCCUACGGGAGGCAGCAGUAGGGAAUCUUCCGCAAUGGGCGAAAGCCUGACGGAGCAACGCCGCGUGAGUGAUGAAGGUCUUCGGACCGUAAAACUCUGUUAUUAGGGAAGAACAUAUGUGUAAGUAACUGUGCACAUCUUGACGGUACCUAAUCAGAAAGCCACGGCUAACUACGUG